UGUUGUGCUCACCUUCCUAGACUCCCUUCCUGUGGUGCUCGGAGCGCCUCUCUUCCCGCAUCCAGCCGGUGUAUGCGGAGGGUCUGGUCUGCUCUGAAACUGGACCCAGUGCUGGAGAUCCAACAGUGGCAACAUCCAGUCUCGGUCUUUCUUCUUCUCAAGACUGUACACAGUGGCCUAUAAUCCCAGAUACUCAGGAGGCUGAGUCAGGAGGAUUGCUUGAGGCUGGGAGUUGAAGACCAGCCUGGACAAUGUAGCAAGACCCUACUUCUAAUCACCAUCAUUGUCAUCACCAUCAUCAUCAGAAGGUCAAAAAGAUUGCUAAAACCCACCAAGGUCAUACAUGACAGGUGACACCAUCCCACAGGCGCCUCCCCAGCAAGGAGCCAAAGCAUCAUGUUCAUUCUUCUGUGGCUAAGCCACCAUCAGCCUUUUUAAAACAAAGCAACUUUAACACCCAAGGAAUGUUGCUGUAAGAGAAAAUCUCCUAUCGCUUCUGUUGUAGGAGCUGGGUGGCAUGGAAACAAGCCAAGGGCUACAUGCAAGAAAAAGAAAUGAGAAAUGAAAACAACUGGGGUGGUUACCAAAGAAAAGGAGACAGCCAAAUUGGGAGACAAGGAAGUUACUGGUCUCUGGAGGUUCCCAGGCUGGGUAAAUUUGGGAUUUGUACAUUCUGAGCUUCCUCUCUGAUGGGGUCUUCUGAGGGUCUGUGGAGAAGCCAAGGAAAGUGAAAUAAGACACCCCGGGGAGGGGAGGGGGACGUUGUGUUCCCUUUAAGCUGCUGAACUACACCCUGAAAAUUCUGGAUUUUCAGGUGCUACCAUCUUUUCUGGAUGGAAUCAUGCCAUCUCUUUUGUUUGUUAUUUUUCUUAAUGUUCUUGGCCUAGAAGAUUAAAUUCUUGGGUGGGCCCAAGCAGCAUGGUGUCACUCUGCCAUUUUCUGGUUGUGUCACAUUAGGCAGGAAAUUUUAUCAUCUCCCGAAGUCCCACUGUCCUGCUAUGUAACAUGGAGAUGCUAAUCCAAACAUCAAUGGAUUAUUUUAAAUAUUUAAUGAAAUCGGUGCUGUAAAGAGUCUGAUUUAUAGACAGCAGAUAUUCAUUUCCAUCCCCUUUCCUCUAUUUCCUCUGUAA
Molecule: long non-coding RNA, 1130 nt
Organism: Callithrix jacchus (white-tufted-ear marmoset)
Lineage: Eukaryota; Metazoa; Chordata; Mammalia; Primates; Cebidae
Source: RefSeq, a predicted model, not a curated record